UACGGGGGGGGCAAGCGUUGUUCGGAAUUACUGGGCGUAAAGGGCUCGUAGGCGGCCAACUAAGUCGGAUGUGAAAUCCCCAGGCUUAACCUGGGAACUGCAUCCGAUACUGGAUGGCUUGAAUUCGGGAGAGGGAUGCAGAAUUCCAGGUGUAGCGGUGAAAUGCGUAGAGAUCAUGAGGAAGACCAGUGGCGAAGGCGGGUCUCUGGACAGUUCCUGACACUGAGACACGAAGGCCAGGGGAGCAAACGGG
RNAcentral lists this ribosomal RNA (253 nucleotides) under uncultured bacterium. Its description in RNAcentral is "partial 16S ribosomal RNA". It matches the Rfam family "Bacterial small subunit ribosomal RNA", at positions 524 to 776 of the family's 1533-position model. The record is from RNAcentral.